Molecule: ribosomal RNA, 517 nt
Filed under: uncultured Staphylococcus sp.
Lineage: Bacteria; Bacillati; Bacillota; Bacilli; Caryophanales; Staphylococcaceae
Description: bacterial SSU rRNA
Rfam family: Bacterial small subunit ribosomal RNA
Source: RNAcentral
CGCCGCGUGAGUGAUGAAGGUCUUCGGAUCGUAAAACUCUGUUGUCAGGGAAGAACAUUGGUGUAAGUAACUGUGCACGUCUUGACGGUACCUGACCAGAAAGCGGCGGCUAACUUCGUGCCAGCAGCCGCGGUAAUACGUAAGGGGCAAGCGUUAUCCGGAAUUAUUGGGCGUAAAGCGCGCGUAGGCGGUUUUUUAAGUCUGAUGUGAAAGCCCACGGCUCAACCGGGGAGGUGCAUUGGAAACUGGUAAACUUGAGUGCAGAAGAGGAAAGUGGAAUUCCAUGUGUAGCGGUGAAAUGCGCAGAGAUAUGGAGGAACACCGGUGGCGAAGGCGACUUUCUGGUCUGUAACUGACACUGAUGCUCGAAAGCGUGGGGAGCAAACAGGAUUAGAUACCCUGGUAGUCCACGCCGUAAACGAUGAGUGCUAGAUGUUAGGGGGUUUCCGCUCCUUAUUGCUGCACCUACCGCAUUAAGCACUCCGCCGGGGGAGUACAACCGCAAGGUUGAAACUCA